GACGAACGCUGGCGGCGUGCCUAAUACAUGCAAGUAGAACGCUGAAGGAGGAGCUUGCUCUUCUGGAUGAGUUGCGAACGGGUGAGUAACGCGUAGGUAACCUGCCUGGUAGCGGGGGAUAACUAUUGGAAACGAUAGCUAAUACCGCAUAAUAGUAGAUGUUGCAUGAUAUUUACUUAAAAGGUGCAAUUGCACCACUACCAGAUGGACCUGCGUUGUAUUAGCUAGUUGGUGGGGUAACGGCUCACCAAGGCGACGAUACAUAGCCGACCUGAGAGGGGGAUCGGCCACACUGGGACUGAGACACGGCCCAGACUCCUACGGGAGGCAGCAGGAGGGAAUCUUCGGCAAUGGACGAAAGGCUGACCGAGCAACGCCGCGUGAGGGAAGAAGGUUUUCGGAUCGUAAAGCUCUGUUGUAAGAGAAGAACGAGUGUGAGAGUGGAAAGUUCACACUGUGACGGUAUCUUACCAGAAAGGGACGGCUAACUACGUG
Molecule: ribosomal RNA, 495 nt
Filed under: uncultured bacterium
Lineage: Bacteria
Description: partial 16S ribosomal RNA
Rfam family: Bacterial small subunit ribosomal RNA
Source: RNAcentral